UCUGGGCGUGGUGGCGCGCGCCUGUAGUCCCAGCUACUCGGGAGGCUGAGGUGGGAGGAUCGCUUGAGUCCAGGAGUUCUGGGCUGCAGUGCGCUAUGCCGAUUGGAUGCCGCACUAAGUUCGGCAUCAAUAUGGUGACCUCCCGGGAGCGGGGGACCACCAGGUUGCCUAAGGAGGGGUGAACCGGCCCAGGUCGGAAACAGAGCAGGUCAAAACUCCCGUGCUGAUCAGUAGUGGGAUCGCGCCUGUGAGUAGCCACUGCACUCCAGCCUGGGCAAUAUAGUGAGACUCCGUCCCCU
Unclassified non-coding RNA from Cavia aperea (Brazilian guinea pig), 299 nucleotides. It matches the Rfam family "Metazoan signal recognition particle RNA". From Rfam's summary of the family: The signal recognition particle (SRP) is a universally conserved ribonucleoprotein. It is involved in the co-translational targeting of proteins to membranes. The eukaryotic SRP consists of a 300-nucleotide 7S RNA and six proteins: SRPs 72, 68, 54, 19, 14, and 9. The record is from Ensembl. Lineage: Eukaryota; Metazoa; Chordata; Mammalia; Rodentia; Caviidae.